UAUGGAUAUCUACUCAGAAGCAAUCUGAAACAGUCCUCUAUAGUGUCGAUCUUUCUUCUUUAAGAACGAUCAUCUUACGAAUCUGAAUGAAGCCUGGAUCGCAAUCAACUUUUUGAUCCUUUCUUUGAUCUUUUUCUUCUUUUCUUUUCUUGCUCUUCUUCUCUUAAUUAUAAAGCAACCAAGAUCUGAAAAUCAACCACCAAAGAAGAUGCCCAAACUCCUUUUGGGCGUGGAGAUGGAGGAUGCCCAACACUCUUGGGUGUUGGAACCAAGAGGGAG
RNAcentral lists this long non-coding RNA (279 nucleotides) under Elaeis guineensis (African oil palm). Its description in RNAcentral is "long non-coding RNA (EGUI_LNC029791)". Lineage: Eukaryota; Viridiplantae; Streptophyta; Magnoliopsida; Arecales; Arecaceae. The record is from RNAcentral.